UAGGGAAUCUUCCGCAAUGGACGCAAGUCUGACGGAGCAACGCCGCGUGAGUGAAGAAGGAUUUCGGUUCGUAAAACUCUGUUGUUAGAGAAGAACAGCGCAUAGAGUAACUGUUAUGCGUGUGACGGUAUCUAACCAGAAAGCCACGGCUAACUACGUGCCAGCAGCCGCGGUAAUACGUAGGUGGCAAGCGUUGUCCGGAUUUAUUGGGCGUAAAGCGAGCGCAGGCGGUCAAUUAAGUCUGAUGUGAAAGCCCCCGGCUCAACCGGGGAGGGUCAUUGGAAACUGGUUGACUUGAGUGCAGAAGAGGAGAGUGGAAUUCCAUGUGUAGCGGUGAAAUGCGUAGAUAUAUGGAGAAACACCAGUGGCGAAGGCGACUCUCUGGUCUGUAACUGACGCUGAGGCUCGAAAGCGUGGGUAGCAAACAGG
This 429-nucleotide ribosomal RNA is filed under the name Bacteroidota bacterium. RNAcentral's name for it is "Bacteroidetes bacterium partial 16S ribosomal RNA". It matches the Rfam family "Bacterial small subunit ribosomal RNA", at positions 355 to 776 of the family's 1533-position model. The record is from RNAcentral. Lineage: Bacteria; Pseudomonadati; Bacteroidota.